This 238-nucleotide long non-coding RNA is filed under the name Prunus persica (peach). RNAcentral describes it as "long non-coding RNA (PPER_LNC004740)". Lineage: Eukaryota; Viridiplantae; Streptophyta; Magnoliopsida; Rosales; Rosaceae. The record is from RNAcentral.
CCAAGGAUAGGGAGGGUGCUGCACAUGGGCUCUUUAGGGGCACAUGUGUGACAAUAUGUGUCUAUAUAUUCAUAGCCAUAGCACCACACCUCCUUAGGGUUUUUCAAGUUAGAUAUUGAGAAAGAGAGGAAACAUCAAACCUCUCUUCCUUGCUCUCUCUUGGCCGGCUACUUGAGGAAGAAAAGGCUAGCACCCAUCUUCUCCUCAAGCUUCCUUAUUCUCCUAUUCCAUUCCAUCC